Molecule: ribosomal RNA, 253 nt
Filed under: uncultured bacterium
Lineage: Bacteria
Description: partial 16S ribosomal RNA
Rfam family: Bacterial small subunit ribosomal RNA
Source: RNAcentral
UACGUAGGGGGCAAGCGUUGUCCGGAUUUAUUGGGCGUAAAGAGCGUGUAGGCGGCCAGACAGGUCAGCUGUGAAAACUCGAGGCUCAACCUCGAGACGUCGGUUGAAACCGUCUGGCUAGAGUCCGGAAGAGGAGAGUGGAAUUCCCGGUGUAGCGAUGAAAUGCGCAGAUAUCGGGAAGAACACCCGUGGCGAAGGCGGCUCUCUGGGACGGUACUGACGCUGAGACGCGAAAGCGUGGGGAGCGAACAGG